UCACCUUUCUUCAUCUUUGAAAACCCUUUUAUACCACGAGCCUUUGCAAUUGCUCUCAACCCUGGCAGCUUCAAUGAACUCAAAUCCUCGUGUUCAAUCUCCUCUCUUUUAUCACUAUACGCAUCAAUAUUAUCAAUAUCUGAAGACUCCUCUCCUGUUAACUCGUUGAAAACAUCACCUUCAGAGAAAGAGGACUCUGGCUCCUGCUCUAAUUCCAACUCAGCCUCCUCUGGCUCCAAUUCUGUCUGCUGGGCAGUAUUAGGAAGCUCCUCAAAUUUCUUCUUUUUCUCACCAUAUAAAUUCAAAUAAGGUGUAGAAUUAACAGGAUCUUCAUUUGCAUUUAUGGGCUUGAAUUUCACUUGAGGAACUGGAGAUUUGCGUUGGAAAUUUGAUGGUGGUCUGGUAAAAGAAGAGGAAUUAGGUUCUGGGACUCUACUCCUUUCUUUGUCAUUUAGAUUUAGGAAACUUGUGCUUUUAUCCUUACUCUGUGAUCUGCUCUGUUCCUGAUGGUCCACAGCAAAGUCUUGACUGCUGACUUUUUUCUUACGUUGCUCAAUUGAGUGUUUCCUCAG
RNAcentral lists this unclassified non-coding RNA (572 nucleotides) under Hevea brasiliensis (rubber tree). The record is from RNAcentral. Lineage: Eukaryota; Viridiplantae; Streptophyta; Magnoliopsida; Malpighiales; Euphorbiaceae.